Molecule: non-coding RNA, 115 nt
Organism: Triticum aestivum (bread wheat)
Lineage: Eukaryota; Viridiplantae; Streptophyta; Magnoliopsida; Poales; Poaceae
Source: Rfam
CACCUACUCCCUCCGUUCGGAAUUACUUGUUGCAGAAAUGGACGCAUUUAGACAUAUUUUAGUUCUAGAUACAUCCAUUUUCGAGACAAGUAAUUUCGAACGGAGGGAGUAUAUC